Molecule: long non-coding RNA, 523 nt
Organism: Hippocampus zosterae (dwarf seahorse)
Lineage: Eukaryota; Metazoa; Chordata; Actinopteri; Syngnathiformes; Syngnathidae
Exons: 3
Source: RefSeq, a predicted model, not a curated record
CUCUCGUUCUUUCGCUCUUUCUUCUCUCGCGUGCGUGAGAAAGUGUGGCAGUGUGUCAGUUAAGGCCGACGGGCCACGCAGCGUGGGAACUAUUACGCGGCGCGAAUGAUAAGUGCAUCUUUCUAUCCAUCUGCCAAAAUUAAAAAAAAAAAAGAAAGACCUCGUGAUUAAUAUGUCAAAGUUUGACAGACAACUCCACCUUAUCUAUCGACCAAUGAAAAGAAACGAGAAUGACCUCACGAUCGAAAGCGCAGGUGUCAAACUGCGGUUGUCGACGGCCACCAUUUUGCAUAUUUAACAUGUUUCCCUCAUCCAAGCCACCUAAUUCAAAUGAUCCAAGAUUGUUAUCAGGCUCCCACGGAGCUUGCUGGUGAGCUGAUUCCACAUCAUGUCCAACAUACCGAUAUGAAACGCUACAUGCAACACUGAAGGGAAGUUGAUUAUAUCACCGGAUUAACAACCCCUAAUCUCGUUUGAGGGAAUUACCAAAGUCAACAGGUCAUGUCGAUAUGACCAACGGCUG